Molecule: non-coding RNA, 24 nt
Filed under: Cricetulus griseus (Chinese hamster)
Lineage: Eukaryota; Metazoa; Chordata; Mammalia; Rodentia; Cricetidae
Source: RNAcentral
UAACUCCCUAGGAAGUGCUGCUGG